GUGGGGAAUAUUGCACAAUGGGGGAAACCCUGAUGCAGCAACGCCGCGUGAGUGAUGACGGUCUUCGGAUUGUAAAGCUCUGUCUUCAGGGACGAUAAUGACGGUACCUGAGGAGGAAGCCACGGCUAACUACGUGCCAGCAGCCGCGGUAAUACGUAGGUGGCAAGCGUUGUCCGGAUUUACUGGGCGUAAAGGGAGCGUAGGUGGAUAUUUAAGUGGGAUGUGAAAUACUCGGGCUUAACCUGGGUGCUGCAUUCCAAACUGGAUAUCUAGAGUGCAGGAGAGGAAAGUAGAAUUCCUAGUGUAGCGGUGAAAUGCGUAGAGAUUAGGAAGAAUACCAGUGGCGAAGGCGACUUUCUGGACUGUAACUGACACUGAGGCUCGAAAGCGUGGGGAGCAAACAGGAUUAGAAACCCCAGUAGUCC
Molecule: ribosomal RNA, 425 nt
Filed under: uncultured bacterium
Lineage: Bacteria
Description: partial 16S ribosomal RNA
Rfam family: Bacterial small subunit ribosomal RNA
Source: RNAcentral